RNAcentral lists this long non-coding RNA (545 nucleotides) under Mus musculus (house mouse). Its description in RNAcentral is "predicted gene, 35782, transcript variant 7 (Gm35782)". Lineage: Eukaryota; Metazoa; Chordata; Mammalia; Rodentia; Muridae. The record is from RNAcentral.
AGAGGUUCUGACUGCGCGUGCGUCCGCGGCCUGCGGCGGCUCCGCUCUACCCUGCGAGGAAGAAGCACUGCAGUCACCGCGCAGUUCUGACUUUGGCCGAGCCCUCCUCAAAGGAGCGUUCAGUCAGCAGAGACGCUGCCUCUGAUCAGAGGGGUUCCGACAAGAUCACAAUGUGGACCACCAAUAAAGCAAGGAUUCUAUGUCCCAGAUGGAGGUGAUGCCCACCCCACCUUAUCCUGCACUCGAUUCUAGACAUCUGUGAAGAGAGCGGAAUUCAUCCCUUUGCUGCCUGUCUCAUCUAGGUUUGCUGAGAUGUGAACUAGACUGAGAACCACAGUGUUCACGACCAUACCUAGAGUCAACAUGUAGAUUUUUGUUGUUGUUGCUGCUGACUCCAGCUUGGCCAUGGCAGGGACAGCGCAUGACAUGGCUCCCACCCCUAGAAAAGAGCCAGCAGGGCGUGGGCCUCUGGAAGUGUCGAUGGUUGCUGUGGGCAUACGGCUUGAUUGUAUAAAAUUAUAUAUUUUAUUUAUGCUCUUCCUUUA